UUAUGAACGUUGUCCUUAAAAUAGCAUCUAUUAAUGGCACUUGAAAGUCACAGUUGAUAACUAAAAUGGAAUUCAAGGAUGUUAACUGAACAUUGCUGCAAUACCCUGAAAAAUGCAAAUCAAUAUUAGCGCCUUGUUUCAAGAUUAUGUAUAGUACAUCAGGGUUCUUUGGUAGUUUCAUGAUCAAGGUUGAUGUGAAUUAAGGUCUCAAAUACAUCCUAGCUAUUAGGUGAAUCAAAACAUUCCUUACUGAUUGAAUUCUUGAGAAGGAUAUUGGUAUAGUCAACUUCAAACGAGCAUAUCUCUUGUUAUACUACGAAUUUU
This 324-nucleotide long non-coding RNA is filed under the name Capsicum annuum. Its description in RNAcentral is "long non-coding RNA (CANN_LNC008955)". Lineage: Eukaryota; Viridiplantae; Streptophyta; Magnoliopsida; Solanales; Solanaceae. The record is from RNAcentral.